RNAcentral lists this long non-coding RNA (519 nucleotides) under Olea europaea (common olive). RNAcentral describes it as "long non-coding RNA (OEUR_LNC003282)". Lineage: Eukaryota; Viridiplantae; Streptophyta; Magnoliopsida; Lamiales; Oleaceae. The record is from RNAcentral.
AUUGAAGUAUGGGGCCUAAAACAGGAAUUUGCUUUCAAAUCUCACUCCUUUCUCCAAUUGGCGAUUCGUUAGUAAAACUACGGAAGAUAGUCAAAAGAGAAUUGAGAAAAACGCUUAUCAUAAUCAAAAAUUGAGAACUGCUGCAGCUUUAUUCUUCGUUUCCGUUCGUCCAUUUUUUCUACUGAUUUCUUCAAAUCUUUUUCCAGUCAGUAUAGUAAGAAAGUAGUGUAAUUAACGGCAAUUCAUAUUACACAGUCUUCCCAAUUAAAUUCUGGAUGCAGAAUCAGGCUGCAAUUUCCCUUAAAUCCUCUCUUAUUUCAAUUACACCCAGAACCAAUAAUGGUUUAUUAUCUCCUUAUCCACACACCCUCCAAAACCCUAGAUUGAGAAGAAAACGUAAUUAUUCGGUUUUGAAUUGCACCGGGAUUGAAAUUCUGGUACCCAAAGCGCGCCUUAAUUCUCUCAGCUUUUGCAAUGGUUCUGUGGAAGACGAGAAAUUGAAAGCCAUCGGAGUUAAGG